RNAcentral lists this ribosomal RNA (107 nucleotides) under Mesocricetus auratus (golden hamster). Lineage: Eukaryota; Metazoa; Chordata; Mammalia; Rodentia; Cricetidae. The record is from RNAcentral.
UGCUACGGCCAUACCACCCUGAACGUGCCCGAUCUCGUCUGAUCUCGGAAGCUAAGCAGGGUCGAGCCUGGUUAGUACCUGGAUGGGAGAAGGCAGUUUUGUUCUGC